This 939-nucleotide ribosomal RNA is filed under the name Triticum aestivum (bread wheat). RNAcentral's name for it is "partial small subunit ribosomal RNA". Lineage: Eukaryota; Viridiplantae; Streptophyta; Magnoliopsida; Poales; Poaceae. The record is from RNAcentral.
AUGGCCAGGCAGCAGCAGCGGGAGGGGGACGGCGGCAAGGGGAAGGCGGCGGCCCGCUGGAACUGGAACCGGAGGACCAGCGCCGAGGGCCUGCCGCACGGGAUCGUCCAGACCAGCUCCGACAUGUUCCUCCGCCCGCUCUGGGACCCCGCCGCCAAGCGCGCCAUCCCCAAGGUCCGCUCCCCCCUUAUUAUCCCGGCGCUCAUUUCUCACGGCGACGCCAAAUUUGAGCUUUUACUAGUGUACCAGAGGCUGACCAGGUACUCCAUUGACAUCUCUAGCUCCCACAUGUCGCCCCUAGGCUGGAGUGCCCUCUCGUGGGCGAUCGGCAUCCUCCUGGUGGCGCCGCUCCUCACCCAGGUUGCGCACCACCUUGACCGUGGCCAGUACCAGUCGCUCAUCCUCAUCGCUGUGAUGUCGUUCGGCUCCUUCGGCCUGCUCACUGGCUUUAUCAAAACGGUCUGGGUGUUCCUGUUCUACAUCCUCUUCAUCACUGCAUCCAUCAUCAUUGUUGAGGCGGUGCACACCCGCAACCUCGGGCUGGUGAUCCGCGGCCUCGCCACUCAUGACUCGGGCAAGCACCUUGUCCUGCGCCGCGCGCUGCUGCUAGCCAGCUCAGCCUCUACUGCACCGCCAUCAGCGGCAUCAGCGCUGCCCUCAUGGCUGCAUUCAUGUACCACAUGCCGAGGCGCACUGACUAGAUCACCGGCCUCUGGGUCGUUUCCAUCUCCAAUGGCAGAGCUGAAGGCAUAUGGCAGUGCUAUGCAGAAGGUUCUCCAUGUUGGCCCAGAUAGUUGUACAGUAAUUUCUAACUUGUUGAAAGAAGGGAAGGAAGCAUGGGGAGUGGAGCCUUAUGAUUUGGAGGAUGCUGCUCGUGCUGGGAGUGAUUAUUCUGAUCAUCUAUUUCAACAGCGGCUUAGGGGUGUUGCAAACUCUUAG